Molecule: transfer RNA, 64 nt
Filed under: Palinurellus wieneckii
Lineage: Eukaryota; Metazoa; Arthropoda; Malacostraca; Decapoda; Synaxidae
Description: tRNA-Gly
Source: RNAcentral
AUCUUUCUAGUAUAAAAGUACAUUUGGCUUCCAACCAAAAAGUCCAAUACAUUUGGGAAAGUUA